RNAcentral lists this ribosomal RNA (243 nucleotides) under Aeromonas dhakensis. RNAcentral describes it as "partial 16S ribosomal RNA". It matches the Rfam family "Bacterial small subunit ribosomal RNA", at positions 1 to 238 of the family's 1533-position model. Lineage: Bacteria; Pseudomonadati; Pseudomonadota; Gammaproteobacteria; Aeromonadales; Aeromonadaceae. The record is from RNAcentral. RNAcentral also lists the same sequence under 1 other name.
AAAUUGAAGAGUUUGAUCAUGGCUCAGAUUGAACGCUGGCGGCAGGCCUAACACAUGCAAGUCGAGCGGCAGCGGGAAAGUAGCUUGCUACUUUUGCCGGCGAGCGGCGGACGGGUGAGUAAUGCCUGGGAAAUUGCCCAGUCGAGGGGGAUAACAGUUGGAAACGACUGCUAAUACCGCAUACGCCCUACGGGGGAAAGCAGGGGACCUUCGGGCCUUGCGCGAUUGGAUAUGCCCAGGUGG